This 492-nucleotide ribosomal RNA is filed under the name uncultured bacterium. RNAcentral's name for it is "partial 16S ribosomal RNA". It matches the Rfam family "Bacterial small subunit ribosomal RNA", at positions 29 to 507 of the family's 1533-position model. The record is from RNAcentral.
AGUGAACGCUGGCGGUAGGCCUAACACAUGCAAGUCGAACGGCAGCACAGUAAGAGCUUGCUCUUACGGGUGGCGAGUGGCGGACGGGUGAGGAAUACAUCGGAAUCUACUUUUUCGUGGGGGUUAACGUAGGGAAACUUACGCUAAUACCGCAUACGACCUACGGGUGAAAGCAGGGGAUCUUCGGACCUUGCGCGAUUGAAUGAGCCGAUGUCGGAUUAGCUAGUUGGCGGGGUAAAGGCCCACCAAGGCGACGAUCCGUAGCUGGUCUGAGAGGAUGAUUAGCCACACUGGAACUGUGACACGGUCCAGACUCCUACGGGAGGCAGCAGUGGGGAAUAUUGGACAAUGGGCGCAAGCCUGAUCCAGCCAUACCGCGUGGGUGAAGAAGGCCUUCGGGUUGGAAAGCCCUUUUGUUUGGAAAGAAAAGCAGCAGGUUAAUACCCCGCUGUUCUGACGGUACCCAAAGAAUAAGCACCGGCUAACUUCGUG